CGGGGAAUAUUGGACAAUGGGCGCAAGCCUGAUCCAGCAAUGCCGCGUGAGUGAUGAAGGCCUUCGGGUUGUAAAGCUCUUUCGCACGCGACGAUGAUGACGGUAGCGUGAGAAGAAGCCCCGGCUAACUUCGUGCCAGCAGCCGCGGUAAUACGAAGGGGGCUAGCGUUGUUCGGAAUUACUGGGCGUAAAGGGCGCGUAGGCGGUGUGUCAAGUCAGGCGUGAAAGCCCCGGGCUCAACCUGGGAACAGCGCUUGAGACUGGCACGCUCGAGUUCGGGAGAGGAUGGUGGAAUUCCCAGUGUAGAGGUGAAAUUCGCAGAUAUUGGGAAGAACACCGAUGGCGAAGGCAGCCAUCUGGACCGACACUGACGCUGAGGCGCGAAAGCGUGGGGAGCAAACAGGAUUAGAUACCCUGGUAGUCCACGCCGUAAACGAUGAGUGCUAGACGUCGGGGCCCUUAGGGCUUCGGUGUCGCAGCUAACGCAUUAAGCACUCCGCCUGGGGAGUACGGCCGCAAGGUUAAAACUUAAAGGAAUUGACGGGGUCAUAGCUGUUUCCU
This 561-nucleotide ribosomal RNA is filed under the name uncultured bacterium. Its description in RNAcentral is "partial 16S ribosomal RNA". It matches the Rfam family "Bacterial small subunit ribosomal RNA", at positions 355 to 1375 of the family's 1533-position model. The record is from RNAcentral.